RNAcentral lists this ribosomal RNA (253 nucleotides) under uncultured bacterium. RNAcentral's name for it is "partial 16S ribosomal RNA". It matches the Rfam family "Bacterial small subunit ribosomal RNA", at positions 524 to 776 of the family's 1533-position model. The record is from RNAcentral.
GACGAACCGUCCUAACGUUGUUCGGAAUCACUGGGCUUAAAGGGCGCGUAGGCGGGCUGCCAAGUCCGGGGUGAAAUCUUUCGGCUUAACCGGAAAAUAGCCUUGGAUACUGGUAGUCUCGAGGGAGGCAGGGGCCGUCGGAACUUCCGGUGGAGCGGUGAAAUGCGUUGAUAUCGGAAGGAACGCCGGUGGCGAAAGCGAACGGCUGGUCCUCUUCUGACGCUGAGGCGCGAAAGCCAGGGGAGCAAACGGG